GACGAACGCUGGCGGCGUGCCUAAUACAUGCAAGUUGAGCGCUGAAGGUUGGUACUUGUACCAACUGGAUGAGCAGCGAACGGGUGAGUAACGCGUGGGGAAUCUGCCUUUGAGCGGGGGACAACAUUUGGAAACGAAUGCUAAUACCGCAUAAAAACUUUAAACACAAGUUUUAAGUUUGAAAGAUGCAAUUGCAUCACUCAAAGAUGAUCCCGCGUUGUAUUAGCUAGUUGGUGAGGUAAAGGCUCACCAAGGCGAUGAUACAUAGCCGACCUGAGAGGGUGAUCGGCCACAUUGGGACUGAGACACGGCCCAAACUCCUACGGGAGGCAGCAGUAGGGAAUCUUCGGAAAUGGACGAAAGUCUGACCGAGCAACGCCGCGUGAGUGAAGAAGGUUUUCGGAUCGUAAAACUCUGUUGGUAGAGAAGAACGUUGGUGAGAGUGGAAAGCUCAUCAAGUGACGGUAACUACCCAGAAAGGGACGGCUAACUACGU
This 496-nucleotide ribosomal RNA is filed under the name uncultured bacterium. RNAcentral describes it as "partial 16S ribosomal RNA". It matches the Rfam family "Bacterial small subunit ribosomal RNA", at positions 28 to 506 of the family's 1533-position model. The record is from RNAcentral.